GGUCCCGUAGCGGAGUGGUCACCGCGGUGUACUUAUGGUUUCAAAAUUUUGGAAGACAUGCACAGGUCGAGGGUUCGAACCCCUCCGGGACCA
Phialemonium atrogriseum is the source of this 93-nucleotide non-coding RNA. Lineage: Eukaryota; Fungi; Ascomycota; Sordariomycetes; Cephalothecales; Cephalothecaceae. The record is from the annotation of a RefSeq genome assembly.